AGUAGCGGCGAGCGAAGCGGGAAGAGCUCAAAUUUAUAAUCUGGCACUUUCGGUGUCCGAGUUGUAAUCUCUAGAAAUGUUUUCCGCGUUGGACCGCACACAAGUCUGUUGGAAUACAGCGGCAUAGUGGUGAGACCCCCGUAUAUGGUGCGGACGCCCAGCGCUUUGUGAUACAUUUUCGAAGAGUCGAGUUGUUUGGGAAUGCAGCUCAAAUUGGGUGGUAAAUUCCAUCUAAAGCUAAAUAUUGGCGAGAGACCGAUAGCGAACAAGUACCGUGAGGGAAAGAUGAAAAGCACUUUGGAAAGAGAGUUAACAGUACGUGAAAUUGUUGGAAGGGAAACGCUUGAAGUCAGACUUGCUUGCCGAGCAAUCGGUUUGCAGGCCAGCAUCAGUUUUCCGGGAUGGAUAAUGGUAGAGAGAAGGUAGCAGUUUCGGCUGUGUUAUAGCUCUCUGCUGGAUACAUCUUGGGGGACUGAGGAACGCAGUGUGCCUUUUGGCGGGGGUUUCGACCUCUUCACACUUAGGAUGCUGGUGGAAUGGCUUUAAACGACCCGUCUUGAAACACGGACCAAGGAGUCUAACAUGCUUGCGAGUAUUUGGGUGUCAAACCCGGAUGCGUAAUGAAAGUGAAUGGAGGUGGGAACCGCAAGGUGCACCAUCGACCGAUCUGGAUUUUUAAUGAUGGAUUUGAGUAAGAGCACGUAUGUUGGGACCCGAAAGAUGGUGAACUAUGCCUGAAUAGGGCGAAGCCAGAGGAAACUCUGGUGGAGGCUCGUAGCGGUUCUGACGUGCAAAUCGAUCGUCAAAUUUGGGUAUAGGGGCGAAAGAC
This 829-nucleotide ribosomal RNA is filed under the name Rhodotorula sp. RNAcentral's name for it is "partial large subunit ribosomal RNA". It matches the Rfam family "Eukaryotic large subunit ribosomal RNA", at positions 82 to 931 of the family's 3401-position model. The record is from RNAcentral. Lineage: Eukaryota; Fungi; Basidiomycota; Microbotryomycetes; Sporidiobolales; Sporidiobolaceae.